Molecule: ribosomal RNA, 451 nt
Filed under: uncultured bacterium
Lineage: Bacteria
Description: partial 16S ribosomal RNA
Rfam family: Bacterial small subunit ribosomal RNA
Source: RNAcentral
AUGCACGCUGGUGGCGUGCCUAACACAUGCCAGUCGAGCGAUUCUCUUCGGAGAAGAGCGGCGGACGGGUGAGUAACGCGUGGGUAACCUGCCCUGUACACACGGAUAACAUACCGAAAGGUAUGCUAAUACGAGAUAACAUGCUUUUAUCGCAUGGUAGAAGUAUCAAAGCUUUUGCGGUACAGGAUGGACCCGCGUCUGAUUAGCUAGUUGGUGAGGUAACGGCUCACCAAGGCGACGAUCAGUAGCCGACCUGAGAGGGUGAUCGGCCACAUUGGAACUGAGACACGGUCCAAACUCCUACGGGAGGCAGCAGUGGGGAAUAUUGCACAAUGGGCGAAAGCCUGAUGCAGCAACGCCGCGUGAGCGAUGAAGGCCUUCGGGUCGUAAAGCUCUGUCCUCAAGGAAGAUAAUGACGGUACUUGAGGAGGAAGCCCCGGCUAACUACGUG